GCCAGCAACUCCGGGCGGUCGUAGGCACUAGCCCAAGCUUCGCGGCAACCGCCUGAUGAGGAUGUCGGAUCGAACUCCUAAAGCGGGUGUCGCAGGUUCGAAUCCUGCCGGGGGCACCA
This 119-nucleotide transfer RNA is filed under the name Streptomyces stelliscabiei. RNAcentral describes it as "tRNA-OTHER". Lineage: Bacteria; Bacillati; Actinomycetota; Actinomycetes; Kitasatosporales; Streptomycetaceae. The record is from RNAcentral.